GGGCACGACACCGGAGAGGGAGCCUGAGAAACGGCUACCACAUCCAAGGAUGGCAGCAGGCGCGCAAAUUACCCAAUCCCGACACGGGGAGGUAGUGACAAUAAAUAACAAUACGGGGUUCUUUAGGAUCUCGUAAUUGGAAUGAGUACAAUUUAAAUCUCUUAACGAGGAACAAUUGGAGGGCAAGUCUGGUGCCAGCAGCCGCGGUAAUUCCAGCUCCAAUAGCGUAUAUUAAAGUUGUUGCAGUUAAAAAGCUCGUAGUUGAAUUUCGGGGUUAGUAGGUUGGUCAUGCCUCUGGUAUGUACUGGUCUCACUGAUUCCUCCUUCCUUAUGAACCGUAAUGCCAUUAAUUUGGUGUUGCGGGGAAUUUGGACUGUUACUUUGAAAAAAUUAGAGUGUUUAAAGCAAGCUAACGCUUGAAUACAUUAGCAUGGAAUAAUGAAAUAGGACGUUCGAUCUUAUUUUGUUGGUUUCUAGGAUUGACGUAAUGAUUAAUAGGGAUAGUUGGGGGCAUUAGUAUUCAAUUGUCAGAGGUGAAAUUCUUGGAUUUAUUGAAGACUAACUACUGCGAAAGCAUUUGCCAAGGAUGUUUUCAUUAAUCAAGAACGAAAGUUAGGGGAUCGAAGACGAUCAGAUACCGUCGUAGUCUUAACCAUAAACUAUGC
RNAcentral lists this ribosomal RNA (665 nucleotides) under uncultured Glomeromycotina. Its description in RNAcentral is "SSU rRNA". It matches the Rfam family "Eukaryotic small subunit ribosomal RNA", at positions 373 to 1042 of the family's 1831-position model. Lineage: Eukaryota; Fungi; Glomeromycota. The record is from RNAcentral.